Molecule: unclassified non-coding RNA, 523 nt
Filed under: Hevea brasiliensis (rubber tree)
Lineage: Eukaryota; Viridiplantae; Streptophyta; Magnoliopsida; Malpighiales; Euphorbiaceae
Source: RNAcentral
UGAGGAGAGGGUUAGAAGAACUAGUGAACAAUGCAUACAUUUACUGAAUUAUUGUUCUACUUCCAGACAUUCAACGGGUCCCUACCCUCCAUUUAUUCAAAUGCACCAGUUGUUAACUUGAACAUUGGUGAAUGGAUUUCACAUUUCAAUAUUGAAUGGGCUGUAAAACAGUUAACUCUGUUAUUCCAUGGUUCACUAGUUCUUCUAACCCUCUCCUCAGCCUCUCUGCAGCAGCUUUACAAUCAGCCUCUAUCAAGCCCCCAAAGGAGAUCCUAAUAUGCCCUGGGCAUCCACAAGCACCUCCUGGAAUCACAACCACCCCAUGCCUUGUAGCAAGCCAGCGAACCACUUUAAAAUCAUCAAGAUAUUUUUCAGGAAGCUUUGCCCAUAGGUAAAUUGCACCUUCUCCACCUUUCACAGCAUCUUCCCCUAAAGGGGAGAGAGCUUUCAGAAGAAUUUCUCUGUUCCUCACAAGAUCUUUCACUCGCUCAGUGACCCACUCAGGUCCCAUUUCUAAGGAGUA